UACGGGAGGCAGCAGUGGGGAAUAUUGCACAAUGGGCGAAAGCCUGAUGCAGCUAUGCCGCGUGUAUGAAGAAGGCCUUAGGGUUGUAAAGUACUUUCAUCGGGGAGGAAAAACAAAACUAAUAAUUUUAUUUCUUGACGUUACCCGAAAAAGAAGCACCGGCUAACUCCGUGCCAGCAGCCGCGGUAAUACGGAGGGUGCUAGCGUUAAUCAGAAUUACUGGGCGUAAAGAGCACGUAGGUGGUUUUUUUAAGUCAGAUGUGAAAUCCCUGGGCUUAACCUAGGAACUGCAUUUUGAAACUGAAAUACUAGAGUAUCGUAGAGGGAGGUAGAAUUCUAGGUGUAGCGGUGAAAUGCGUAGAUAUCUGGAGGAAUACCUGUGGCGAAAGCGGCCUCCGUAAACGAUACUGACACUGAGUGCGAAAGCGUGGGGAGCAAACGAGGGAUUAGGAUA
RNAcentral lists this ribosomal RNA (454 nucleotides) under uncultured bacterium. RNAcentral describes it as "bacterial SSU rRNA". It matches the Rfam family "Bacterial small subunit ribosomal RNA", at positions 340 to 784 of the family's 1533-position model. The record is from RNAcentral.